Molecule: ribosomal RNA, 499 nt
Filed under: uncultured Curtobacterium sp.
Lineage: Bacteria; Bacillati; Actinomycetota; Actinomycetes; Micrococcales; Microbacteriaceae
Description: bacterial SSU rRNA
Rfam family: Bacterial small subunit ribosomal RNA
Source: RNAcentral
GUGCCAGCAGCUGCGGUAAUACGUAGGGUGCAAGCGUUGUCCGGAAUUAUUGGGCGUAAAGAGCUCGUAGGCGGUUUGUCGCGUCUGCUGUGAAAUCCCGAGGCUCAACCUCGGGCUUGCAGUGGGUACGGGCAGACUAGAGUGCGGUAGGGGAGAUUGGAAUUCCUGGUGUAGCGGUGGAAUGCGCAGAUAUCAGGAGGAACACCGAUGGCGAAGGCAGAUCUCUGGGCCGUAACUGACGCUGAGGAGCGAAAGCGUGGGGAGCGAACAGGAUUAGAUACCCUGGUAGUCCACGCCGUAAACGUUGGGCGCUAGAUGUAGGACCUUUCACGGUUUCUGUGUCGUAGCUAACGCAUUAAGCGCCCCGCCUGGGGAGUACGGCCGCAAGGCUAAAACUCAAAGGAAUUGACGGGGCCCGCACAAGCGGCGGAGCAUGCGGAUUAAUUCGAUGCAACGCGAAGAACCUUACCAAGGCUUGACAUACACCGGAACGGCCAGA